Molecule: ribosomal RNA, 211 nt
Filed under: uncultured prokaryote
Description: partial 16S ribosomal RNA
Rfam family: Bacterial small subunit ribosomal RNA
Source: RNAcentral
UACGGAGGGUGCAAGCGUUAUCCGGAUUCACUGGGUUUAAAGGGUGCGUAGGUGGGCAGGUAAGUCAGUGGUGAAAUCCCCGGGCUUAACCCGGGAACUGCCGUUGAUACUAUCUGUCUUGAAUGUCGUGGAGGUGAGCGGAAUAUGUCAUGUAGCGGUGAAAUGCAUAGAUAUGUCACAGAACACCAAUUGCGAAGGCAGCUUACUAAAG